Molecule: long non-coding RNA, 358 nt
Organism: Helianthus annuus (common sunflower)
Lineage: Eukaryota; Viridiplantae; Streptophyta; Magnoliopsida; Asterales; Asteraceae
Exons: 3
Source: RefSeq, a predicted model, not a curated record
CAGGAGAAAGAGCAGAGGGGUGUAAACCCUAGCUCUCAAGAACAACAACACAAAUUCAGCUCAAUCAAAGCCAAAAUCGAAUGGAAAGCAUUGCAUGGAUGAAGAUUUAUCACUAUCUAAUCCUAACAAACAUAUGGAUAGGUAUCGCAUGAGCAUGGAAGGCAAAUGGGUCAAGAUGAGGCAAGGAAGCGGUUACGAACACGGAUGCACAAGGUUGCGCGGACUUAGCAUCGUCACAAUGAAUAGAAGGAUUGAAGAUCGAGUCAAGAGCAAGGAUUGUACGGAAGAAUAGCCACGUAGUUUUAAUUAUGUAAUGUUUUAACAUGUGGAAGUAAAUGUAAAAUUUCCUUUUAUCAAA